Camelina sativa (false flax) is the source of this 171-nucleotide non-coding RNA. NCBI's taxonomy places the organism in Eukaryota, Viridiplantae, Streptophyta, Magnoliopsida, Brassicales, Brassicaceae. The record is from RefSeq and is a predicted model, not a curated record.
CAAAAGCAGGCGAAAAUGCUUCCAAGAAACCGCGCGUGGAAUCACGGUCAUCUUGCCCACCCUUCAAGGUGAGGAAAGAGAAGGUAGGAGACAGAAUAGCAGCACUACAGCAGUUGGUUUCACCAUUUGGGAAGACAGAUACAGCAUCUGUAUUAAUGGAGGCAAUUGGAU